CAACCCUCAAGCGCUGUAGUGCUUGGUGUUGGGGCAUCUGCUGCUUAUAGCAGGCCCUGAAAGAUAGUGGCGAGCUCGCCGUGACCCUGAGCGUAGUAGUUUACACCUCGCUUCUGUGGUUCAUAGCGGGUCUUCAGCCGUGAAAACCCCCUAAUUUUCACAA
This 163-nucleotide unclassified non-coding RNA is filed under the name uncultured Conlarium. Its description in RNAcentral is "sequence contains ITS2". Lineage: Eukaryota; Fungi; Ascomycota; Sordariomycetes. The record is from RNAcentral.